UCUCCGUUGGUGAACCAGCGGAGGGAUCAUUACUGAGUGUUACAACUCCCAAACCCUAUGUGAACACUACCUUUCGUUGCUUCGGCGGGACCGCCCCGGCGCCUCUGCGCGCCGGACCCAGGCGCCCGCCGGGGGCCCGAAACUCUUGUUUUGUCAGUGGUAUUUUAUCUGAGUGGCAUAAGCAAAUAAAUCAAAACUUUCAACAACGGAUCUCUUGGUUCUG
Molecule: unclassified non-coding RNA, 223 nt
Filed under: plant metagenome
Description: partial contains small subunit ribosomal RNA, internal transcribed spacer 1, and 5.8S ribosomal RNA
Source: RNAcentral